This 75-nucleotide transfer RNA is filed under the name Pseudonocardia benzenivorans CB1190. RNAcentral's name for it is "Pseudonocardia dioxanivorans CB1190 tRNA-Und (NNN) (tRNA-Und-NNN-1-1)". Lineage: Bacteria; Bacillati; Actinomycetota; Actinomycetes; Pseudonocardiales; Pseudonocardiaceae. The record is from RNAcentral.
GAGGCGUAGCGAACUGCGCACGGAGAAGCCCUCGUGAAGCAACGGAGGACCCGGGUUCGAUUCCCGGCACCUCCA